CAUGCAAGUCGAACGGCAGCACGGGGGCAACCCUGGUGGCGAGUGGCGAACGGGUGAGUAAUAUAUCGGAACGUGCCCUAGAGUGGGGGAUAACGUAGCGAAAGUUACGCUAAUACCGCAUACGAUCUACGGAUGAAAGUGGGGGAUCGCAAGACCUCAUGCUCCUGGAGCGGCCGAUAUCUGAUUAGCUAGUUGGUAGGGUAAAAGCCUACCAAGGCGACGAUCAGUAGCUGGUUUGAGAGAACGACCAGCCACACUGGGACUGAGACACGGCCCAGACUCCUACGGGAGGCAGCAGUGGGGAAUUUUGGACAAUGGGGGCAACCCUGAUCCAGCAAUGCCGCGUGUGUGAAGAAGGCCUUCGGGUUGUAAAGCACUUUUGUCAGGAACGAAACGGACUGGGUUAAUACCUCGGUCUAAUGACGGUACCUGAAGAAUAAGCACCGGCUAACUACGUGCCAGCAGCCGCGGUAAUACGUAGGGUGCAAGCGUUAAUCGGAAUUACUGGGCGUAAAGCGUGCGCAGGCGGUUGUGUAAGACAGGUGUGAAAUCCCCGGGCUUAACCUGUGAAUUGCAUUUGUGACUGCACGGCUAGAGUUUGGCAGANGGGGGUAGAAUUCCACGUGUAGCAGUGAAAUGCGUAGAUAUGUGGAGGAAUACCGAUGGCGAAGCAGCCCCCUGGGUCAAGACUGACGCUCA
This 699-nucleotide ribosomal RNA is filed under the name uncultured bacterium. RNAcentral's name for it is "bacterial SSU rRNA". It matches the Rfam family "Bacterial small subunit ribosomal RNA", at positions 54 to 749 of the family's 1533-position model. The record is from RNAcentral.